This 1033-nucleotide long non-coding RNA is filed under the name Marmota monax (woodchuck). The record is from RNAcentral. Lineage: Eukaryota; Metazoa; Chordata; Mammalia; Rodentia; Sciuridae.
GGCAAAGGUGGAGGGUUAUUUGCUGCUUUGUGAGACAACAAAUGGAAGCUGUCUUCUGCCUUAAGUACUUGGAGGGUGCGGGGGGCUUAGCUCUAUUAUGCCUUUCAGGGACAGAGGGAGAAGUUGGAGCUUGAAAUACUCAGCCUUUGUCCCUUUCUGAGGUACUUACCUUUGGAAAGGAUGAGACUAUAUAUGGCAUAGUUGUCAAAGUACCCACAGAUGGGCCAAUCUGGUCUCAAAUAUAGGCUCAGAUUGGCUGUGUGACCUUGGAUAGGUUCUUUGGGUCUCUGAGCCUUAGUCUCUCCAUUUGUGAAAUGGGGAUGGUAGUAGCACCCAGAAGACAGGGCUGUUGUGAGGAGUCAGGAGUCAGUGCCUGGAAAGCCCACGGCAGGAGCCUGCUGCACAGUUAGUAACCUGUAAAGUCUUCUCUGGUUCUUGGUGUCACACUCAAGUAAUCCCCAUGACAGAGCCCAAACCUGGAACACCACUACCACCUUGUCCUGAGAGUGAUGAGGAUGAGGAUGAGAGGCUGAGAGGCCCACCAGUUAUAGACAUUCAUCACAUCUGAUGGCUCCUCCUGAGACCCUUGGGAUGGAAGUAGUUGGGUGAUCUGGGACACUGAGAACCACCCUUCAGUAUCCACAUACAAUCACCCACUUCACAGAAAUGAUCAUGCGUUUAACAUGCUACCGUGGAGGACUGCACACACAAGUAGGAUGACCUAGAUGAAAUGAAUGGGGACCUAGAUGAAAUGGAUGGGUUCCUAGAGGUACAAAAGCUAUCAAAACUGACUCAAAAAGAAAUUGAAAAUCUGAAUAGACCUAUAACAAGUCAGGAGAUUGAAUCAGUCAGUAAUCAAAUAACUUCCAGCAAAGAACAAUCUAGCACCAGAUGGCUUCACUGGUGAAUUAUACCAAACAUCUAAGGGAGAAUUACACGAGAAUUAAUUCUGAAGGGGAGGGACACUUCCUAACUCAUUCUACAAGGCCAUUGUUACCCGGAUCUUAAAGCUAGAGAACACUGAUUGUAAGCA